GGGACGGCGUCGCCGGGGUGCACCCGCGGGGCCUGCGGGGCCUGCGGGGCCUGCAGGACGGAGUCCCCGGUCCGGUCCGGGGCCGUCCCG
RNAcentral lists this transfer RNA (90 nucleotides) under Streptomyces spongiicola. Its description in RNAcentral is "tRNA-Ala". Lineage: Bacteria; Bacillati; Actinomycetota; Actinomycetes; Kitasatosporales; Streptomycetaceae. The record is from RNAcentral.